AUGUCGCAGCAGACAGCACAGGUGCCGUCGCCGGCGCCUGUGAGGCUCAUCGCGGCGUUCGGCAGCCCGUUCGCGCACCGGGUGGAGGUGGCGCUCACGCUCAAGGGGGUGUCAUACAUAGUUUCAAAUAGCCGGGACCUAACCAACAAGAGCGACCUGCUGCUCGCCCACAACCCCGUCCACUAGUCGGUCCCCGUCCUCCUCCACAGCGACCGCGCCGUCUGCGAGUCCCUCCUCAUCGUCGAGUACAUCGACGAGGCCUUCCACGACGGGGACCUCCUCCCGGCGGACCCCUACGACCGCACCACUGCAAGCUUCUGGGCUGACUUCAUCGCCAACAAGUGCUUGAAGCCGCUGUGGCAGGCGAUGUGGACGGACGGCGAGGAGCAGGCAUGGCUGGCGAGGGAGACCAAGGAGAGCCUGGGCAUCCUGGACGCGCAGCUGGAGGGGAAGAGGUUCUUCGGGGGCGACGCGCUCGGCUUCGUCGACCUCGCCGCAUGCACGCUGGCUCACUGGCUCGGCGUGCUGGAGGAAGUCGCCGGCGUGCGCCUGAUGAAGGAUGGCGAGUACCCUGCUCUGCGCCGGUGAGCCAAGGAGUACACCUCCGACGAGGUCGUCAGGCAGUCCCUGCCAGGCAGGGACGAGCUGGUCGCCUACUUCACCAAAAACCUACGUUGCACCGAUACGGCGAUACCGAUACGGCGAUACGAGUACGGCGAUACGUGA
RNAcentral lists this ribosomal RNA (726 nucleotides) under Triticum aestivum (bread wheat). RNAcentral's name for it is "partial small subunit ribosomal RNA". Lineage: Eukaryota; Viridiplantae; Streptophyta; Magnoliopsida; Poales; Poaceae. The record is from RNAcentral.